UUGACAGCCCUGGAGCCUGAAGGCCUCUGUGUAGCAACAGGGCAGAUACAGAGCGGACAGCAACAAGGAAAUCUUCCCACCCUCAAACUGCCUCAGGGCUGAGCAGGACAGACCACCUCUAGGCAUGAGAGGGGAUUAAAAUCUCUAGGGUCUAUUCAGUCUUUGUAUUAU
This is an unclassified non-coding RNA of Chrysemys picta bellii (western painted turtle), 171 nucleotides long. Lineage: Eukaryota; Metazoa; Chordata; Testudines; Emydidae. The record is from Ensembl.